AUUGAACGCUGGCGGCAUGCUUUACACAUGCAAGUCGAACGGUAACAGGGAGCUUGCUCCGCUGACGAGUGGCGAACGGGUGAGUAAUGCAUCGGAACGUACCCAGUCGUGGGGGAUAACGUAGCGAAAGUUACGCUAAUACCGCAUAAGCCCUGAGGGGGGAAAGUGGGGGACCGCAAGGCCUCACGCGAAUGGAGCGGCCGAUGUCAGAUUAGCUAGUUGGUGGGGUAAAGGCCCACCAAGGCGACGAUCUGUAGCGGGUCUGAGAGGAUGAUCCGCCACACUGGGACUGAGACACGGCCCAGACUCCUACGGGAGGCAGCAGUGGGGAAUUUUGGACAAUGGGCGCAAGCCUGAUCCAGCCAUGCCGCGUGCGGGACGAAGGCCU
RNAcentral lists this ribosomal RNA (388 nucleotides) under uncultured bacterium. RNAcentral's name for it is "bacterial SSU rRNA". It matches the Rfam family "Bacterial small subunit ribosomal RNA", at positions 29 to 417 of the family's 1533-position model. The record is from RNAcentral.